AGCACCUUGCACAUUGGCAGCAGCCGACUCAUAAUCGGCCAGACGUCGGUUCGAAUCCGACCCAGCCCA
Molecule: transfer RNA, 69 nt
Filed under: Planctomycetota bacterium
Lineage: Bacteria; Pseudomonadati; Planctomycetota
Also listed under: 1 other name
Description: tRNA-Met
Rfam family: tRNA
About the family: Transfer RNA (tRNA) molecules are approximately 80 nucleotides in length. Their secondary structure includes four short double-helical elements and three loops (D, anti-codon, and T loops).
Source: RNAcentral